Molecule: ribosomal RNA, 683 nt
Filed under: uncultured bacterium
Lineage: Bacteria
Description: bacterial SSU rRNA
Rfam family: Bacterial small subunit ribosomal RNA
Source: RNAcentral
CUGCCCCUGUCAGGGGGACAACCCGCCGAAAGGCGGGCUAAACCCGCGUACAUGCCACCGGGGCAUCCCGGAGGCAGGAAAGGCUUCGGCCGGACAGGGAUGGGCAUGCGGCGCAUUAGGCAGUAGGCGGGGUAACGGCCCACCUAACCGACGAUGCGUAGGGGUUCUGAGAGGAAGGUCCCCCACACUGGUACUGAGACACGGACCAGACUCCUACGGGAGGCAGCAGUGAGGAAUAUUGGUCAAUGGUCGGGAGACUGAACCAGCCAAGCCGCGUGAGGGAUGAAGGUACAGAGUAUCGUAAACCUCUUUUGUCAGGGAACAAAGGCGGGGACGUGUCCCCGGAUGAGUGUACCUGAAGAAAAAGCAUCGGCUAACUCCGUGCCAGCAGCCGCGGUAAUACGGAGGAUGCGAGCGUUAUCCGGAUUUAUUGGGUUUAAAGGGUGCGCAGGCGGUCUGUUAAGUCAGCGGUCAAAGCCCGGGGCUCAACCCCGGCCCGCCAUUGAAACUGGCAGUCUCGAGUUGGAGAGAAGUAUGCGGAAUGCGCGGUGUAGCGGUGAAAUGCAUAGAUAUCGCGCAGAACUCCGAUUGCGAAGGCAGCAUGCCGGCUCCACACUGACGCUGAGGCACGAAAGCGUGGGUAUCGAACAGGAUUAGAUACCCUGGUAGUCCACGCAGUAAAC